RNAcentral lists this long non-coding RNA (245 nucleotides) under Setaria italica (foxtail millet). Its description in RNAcentral is "long non-coding RNA (SITA_LNC002103)". Lineage: Eukaryota; Viridiplantae; Streptophyta; Magnoliopsida; Poales; Poaceae. The record is from RNAcentral.
GACGGUUUCGGAGACCUGCUCUCCCAAUCGCCGGUGCACGCCGACAAUCGGGAUGGAGUAGACUAUGGUGACGGUGCAGCAGCGAGAGGAGGCAAAAACCUAACUAGUACAGACCACUUUAGGGAUACCCUAACCUGGGGGCCUUCUCGUAUAGUAGUCUAUAUCGCAUCUUUUUCAUGAGGGAGGUGGUCCAUAUAUAUAGGGAGGAAAAGUCCCAACACCCUCAUCUAUUAGCAAUAUGGGAC